Molecule: long non-coding RNA, 395 nt
Organism: Neopelma chrysocephalum (saffron-crested tyrant-manakin)
Lineage: Eukaryota; Metazoa; Chordata; Aves; Passeriformes; Pipridae
Exons: 3
Source: RefSeq, a predicted model, not a curated record
CAGAAGAGAGCAGAGACCAAGGACCUCCCUCAUGCAAGGAAGCGGGACUUGAAGAGGAGAGCCAUGGACAGUCCUGAUGAGCCCAGCGGGAAGAAAAAGAGGGGAGAGAUAUGAAGAUGAAAGCUAGUCUUCAGUAAGCAAAGACUGCAAUAAAGUGAAAGAUCUUUGCUGAAGUCAUCAGAGAGACCUGUGCUCUGGUAUCGACCAGCAGCCUGACAGACCUGUCACACUCCACCAGGCAGGGAUUACAGUGACUGAGACUGGAAGAAAACAUGCCGGAAUUGUUUCUCCAGGAUGUCAAAUAUCUUCCAGUUUUCUGUCAUUUUGAAGCCUUAGAAACUUAGGAACUUAGUUCAGUUAUUUUUUUUAAUUGUCCAAUAAAACACUUGCAAGAA